UGGGAUAACUUCGGGAAACCGGAGCUAAUACCGGAUAAUAUUUUGAACCGCAGGUUCAAAAGUGAAAGACGGUCUUGCUGUCACUUAUAGAUGGAUCCGCGCUGCAUUAGCUAGUUGGUAAGGUAACGGCUUACCAAGGCAACGAUGCAUAGCCGACCUGAGAGGGUGAUCGGCCACACUGGAACUGAGACACGGUCCAGACUCCUACGGGAGGCAGCAGUAGGGAAUCUUCCGCAAUGGGCGAAAGCCUGACGGAGCAACGCCGCGUGAGUGAUGAAGGUCUUCGGAUAGUAAAACUCUGUUAUUAGGGAAGAACAUAUGUGUAAGUAACUGUGCACAUCUUGACGGUACCUAAUCAGAAAGCCACGGCUAACUACGUGCCAGCAGCC
This 389-nucleotide ribosomal RNA is filed under the name Staphylococcus aureus. RNAcentral's name for it is "bacterial SSU rRNA". It matches the Rfam family "Bacterial small subunit ribosomal RNA", at positions 139 to 516 of the family's 1533-position model. The record is from RNAcentral. Lineage: Bacteria; Bacillati; Bacillota; Bacilli; Caryophanales; Staphylococcaceae.